GGAGAUUGAUGUGUCAUAUAUAGUAUGUAUCCUUGCAGUGGUUUAAGAAUGAUGCUUCCUUGUCUAGACGGUUUAUCUUGUCAAAUUCAAUAUGGUUUUUCAAAUCCAUACUUGUUGAACUUGCAUACCAUGUUCAUCUCGGCGAGAAUGCUCUCCGCUGAGCAGCAACGUAUGUCAAGGAGGAGGUCCGAUUCUACGAGAAAGAGUGGAUACGAACAUCGUGAAAGACCGUGUCCCCUUUUUCGUAGAAUCGAACCUCUUCCAUGACGAAGCGUGCCGCCCAGUUGAGAACAUGCUCGCCAGAUGAUCAC
Molecule: long non-coding RNA, 311 nt
Filed under: Setaria viridis
Lineage: Eukaryota; Viridiplantae; Streptophyta; Magnoliopsida; Poales; Poaceae
Description: long non-coding RNA (SVIR_LNC001966)
Source: RNAcentral